AUGGAUAGAUUUUGGGACGGAUUAAACCGUGACAUUCAGGAUAUACUAAUUCAUGAAACAUGUUAUCCUAUGGACCAUUUGUUUCGUCUUGCUUACAAAGCUGAACAGGAGAUAACAAGACGUGUUGCCCACAAGACAAACAAGCGGAAGGUGCAAAUCCCAAGAGUUGCGACGGUUGUUCCUUCCACCACUGUGUCUCCUAUGAAAACAACAUCCAUUGUUGAGAGCACUACAUCACCUCCACCAUGUGCCGUGUCGCCACCUAGAGUGCCUACAUCAUCUCUGUUGAUCAUAAGGGGUAAUGCCAAAGGUACCGACCUUCCACCUCCACAUGAGUAUGAUGAAUGCCUUGUUAAUUUAAAUGAACCAUGCGAUGAGCUACCCACUACUUUGAUCACACCAGCUAUUUUAGAGGACAAUGUUCAUGAUUUGACUUUGCCAUGUGAUUAA
RNAcentral lists this ribosomal RNA (450 nucleotides) under Triticum aestivum (bread wheat). Its description in RNAcentral is "partial small subunit ribosomal RNA". Lineage: Eukaryota; Viridiplantae; Streptophyta; Magnoliopsida; Poales; Poaceae. The record is from RNAcentral.